CUUCACCGAUCCGAGCCACAGCGGACGCUCGCACUCCUGGCCGUACGUCGCCAGCAGCGCCUGCGCCUC
Molecule: antisense RNA, 69 nt
Filed under: Micromonospora sp. ATCC 39149
Lineage: Bacteria; Bacillati; Actinomycetota; Actinomycetes; Micromonosporales; Micromonosporaceae
Description: ASpks TB sRNA
Rfam family: ASpks TB sRNA
Source: Rfam by way of RNAcentral